This is a long non-coding RNA of Hippocampus comes (tiger tail seahorse), 721 nucleotides long. RefSeq lists it as uncharacterized. The transcript is spliced from 3 exons. The record is from RefSeq and is a predicted model, not a curated record. NCBI's taxonomy places the organism in Eukaryota, Metazoa, Chordata, Actinopteri, Syngnathiformes, Syngnathidae.
CCUGUUUUAAUUUGAAAGAAUGACUCUCCUCUCAUUUCAGGUCACUUCCCCUUCCUCCUGUGUCAGUCUGAUUGUCAGCCCUGAUUGUUUCCACCUGUUGCCCCUUACCUUGUGUUUAAAUGGUCCUUGACUCCCUUUGUCCUGGGCCAGUGUGUACUGUCAGAACCAGGCUUGGACACAGGACACAGGACACAGGACACAGGACACAGGACAAAGUUGCAGGGUACAAAGUGAAGAUAUAUUUAUUUGAGGAUCAGGAACUGACUAUUUAAAAUGGCAAGGCUGUGGAAACAAGGCAAGAACUGCUCAGCUCUGUGGCGAGAGGCUGGAGUCCACACACAAGGACGAAACACACUGGCACAGGACAAAGGGAGACAAGGACCAUUCAAACACAAGAUUUAACGCCCCCCACCCCCUUCCGGUGGAAGACAUUGUACAAGCCACCUUAUAAAAGAAAUGGACAGCAUUCACAUGCAAUCUCUGCAGAAAUGAAUCAUGGAAGGAUUGCAGGAUAAAUGUGGAUACUGUGAUCACGAGUGUGUAAAAAUUGGCCAAAAUGGAAGAAAAUGAAGCACGAAAAUACAUCAUAGUAAUAUGUUGUGUCUCUGUUUAAUUGCUUAUUAUAUGUCAUGGACAACGUAUAUGACAAGACAGUCAUUGCGUAAGUUUGCUUCGAGCGUGUUUUGCAUUUUAACUGUCUUUUUCCAUCAUUAAUCUCCAC